CGAGAGUGACGGGCGAUGUGUUCAUACCCCAUUAAUAGAGGAAAUCUCUCUUCUCUA
RNAcentral lists this transfer RNA (57 nucleotides) under Blaberus sp. B013. RNAcentral's name for it is "tRNA-Met". Lineage: Eukaryota; Metazoa; Arthropoda; Insecta; Blattodea; Blaberidae. The record is from RNAcentral.